This 636-nucleotide unclassified non-coding RNA is filed under the name Boenninghausenia albiflora. RNAcentral describes it as "sequence contains ITS1, 5.8S rRNA gene, ITS2". Lineage: Eukaryota; Viridiplantae; Streptophyta; Magnoliopsida; Sapindales; Rutaceae. The record is from RNAcentral.
CGCUCGCGGGCUACACCCGCGCCCCCAGGACCUCGGNGAACUCCGAGUGCGCCCUGCGUUGCCCUCGAGCUUAUCAAAAGUGGUGGCUAGCAGCGCCGGUCGCGUCGGCCCCUGAGCUUAAACCCGGUUGGCGCUCUCUGGUGCCCUCCGGUUACAGGCGGGGGUUGGCAGGCGCCGGGGGUUUUCCCCCGUCCCCCMCCCCCSUUGCUACGCACUGUGGGUCCGUCUGCACGGGAGCCGGAUUUCCGAACCCCGCGUUGAACGCAAGUUUCUGAGCUACCAAGUGCCCUAAGACGUUAAGUGUGGUUCAUAGCGUAAAGCGAUGCAAGAAGUAGCUACGCUCUCGGCUCUAUAGGCAACGGCUCUCAGCAUAACCUAUUCACUUUCUUCCGCCGCGGCGGUCGCCCGCUUGGGCGCCCCGAGCGAGAGAGCAACGUAAAGGAACCGCGUAAGGCGCGGCCCCCAAGCAAUCUCGCGGCUUCCCUACGCCUUGCUCAGGGCGUAGGGGGGCUGCUACCCCCCUCCUCGGCUCCGAGGUGGGGCGGUCNCUAAAAUGAGCAAGCGCCCAGCAAGACGAUCCGUCCAAAGCUGUUACUAGGAAGGCGUCCAAGUGGAUGCCUUUGGAACAAUGCUGAA